UACGGAGGGGACUAGCGUUGUUCGGAAUUACUGGGCGUAAAGCGCGCGUAGGCGGACCUGCAAGUCGGGGGUGAAAGCCCGAGGCUUAACCUCGGAACUGCCUUCGAUACUGCGGGUCUCGAGUCCGGGAGAGGUGAGUGGAAUUCCUAGUGUAGAGGUGAAAUUCGUAGAUAUUAGGAAGAACACCAGUGGCGAAGGCGGCUCACUGGCCCGGUACUGACGCUGAGGCGCGAAAGCGUGGGGAGCGAACAGG
This 253-nucleotide ribosomal RNA is filed under the name uncultured bacterium. RNAcentral's name for it is "partial 16S ribosomal RNA". It matches the Rfam family "Bacterial small subunit ribosomal RNA", at positions 524 to 776 of the family's 1533-position model. The record is from RNAcentral.